Molecule: ribosomal RNA, 279 nt
Filed under: uncultured bacterium
Lineage: Bacteria
Description: partial 16S ribosomal RNA
Rfam family: Bacterial small subunit ribosomal RNA
Source: RNAcentral
UGCCAGCAGCCGCGGUAAUACGAGGGGGGCAAGUGUUGUUCGGAAUUACUGGGCGUAAAGGGAGCGUAGGCGGAUUUACAAGUCAGGUGUUUAAUCUUGGGGCCCAACCCCAAACUUGCACUUGAAACUGUAUGUCUUGAAUAGGUCAGAGGUAAACGGAAUUCCUGGUGUAGCGGUGGAAUGCGUAGAUAUCAGGAAGAACACCAAAGGCGAAGGCAGUUUACUGGGACCAUAUUGACGCUGAGGCUCGAAAGCGUGGGGUGCGAACAGGAUUAGAUA